UAAAUAGCAUGUUAUUAAACAAUGAAUGGGUGAAAAACGAGAAGAAGGAGGAAAUCAAAAGAUACCUUGAAACAAAUGUAAAUGAGGACACAACAACCAAAAACCUGUGGGACACUAGGAAAGCAAUCAUUAGAGGGAAAUUCAUAGCAUUAUAGGCCUAUCUA
Phyllostomus discolor (pale spear-nosed bat) is the source of this 164-nucleotide long non-coding RNA. RefSeq lists it as uncharacterized. The record is from RefSeq and is a predicted model, not a curated record. NCBI's taxonomy places the organism in Eukaryota, Metazoa, Chordata, Mammalia, Chiroptera, Phyllostomidae. The transcript is spliced from 4 exons.